Molecule: long non-coding RNA, 1201 nt
Filed under: Mytilus galloprovincialis (Mediterranean mussel)
Lineage: Eukaryota; Metazoa; Mollusca; Bivalvia; Mytilida; Mytilidae
Source: RNAcentral
UUUUUUUUUGUAAUAUAGGAUUUUGCUAUUUUUAUAUAUAAAUAAACUUCAUCCUAUACCAAAUAGGAAAAUAAAAUAAAAAUAUGGGUUCAUUACUCAUUUAAGCUGACAAUCUUCCUUCGAAAGAAGCAUGCAUUUGUGUUUAGAUAAUUGAUAAUUAGAGAAAAAUAGGUAAUAUCGAUUAAACUAGAGGCUCUAAAGAGCCUGUGUCGCUCACCUUGGUCUAUGUGCAUAUUAAACAAAGGACACAGAUGGAUUCAUGACAAAAUUGUGUUUUGCUGAUAGUGAUGUGUUUGUAGAUCUUACUUUACUGAACAUUCUUGGUACUUAGAAUUUUCUCUAUCUAUAAUAAACUUGGACCUUUAGAUACAGUGAAAAAUAUUUUGUAAAAAUUUACAAAAAUUUACCAAAUUAGUGAAAAUUGUUAAAAAUUGAAUAAAAUGGGCAACAACUCCUUAAGGGGUCAACUGACGAUUUUGGUCAUGUUGACUUAUUUCUAGAUCUUACUUAGCUGAACAUUAUUGCUGUUUACAAGUUAUCUCUAUCUAUAACAAUAUUCAAGAUAAUAACCAAAAACAGCAAAAUUUCCUUAAAAUUACUAAUUCAGGGGCAGCAACCCAACAACAGGUUAUCCGAUUUAUCUGAAAAUUUCAGGGCAGAUAGAUCGUGACCUGUUACAUAAUUUUACCCCUUGUCAGAUUUGCUCUAAAUGCUUUGGUUUUUGAGUUAUAAGCCCAAAACUGCAUUUUACCCCUAUGUUCUAUUUUUAGCCAUGGCGGCCAUCUUGGAUGGUUGGCCGGGUCACCGGACACAUUUUUAAACAAGAUACCCCAAUGAUGAUUUUGGCCAAGUUUGGUGUAAUUUGGCCAAGUAGUUUCAGAGGAGAAGAUGUAAAAGAUUACUAAGAUUUACGAAAAAUGGUUAAAAAUUGACUAUUAAGGGCAAUAACUCCUAAAGGGGUCAACUGACCAUUUCGGUCAUGUUGACUUAUUUGUAAAUCUUUUUUUUGCUGAACAUUAUUGCUGUUUACAGUUUAUCUCUAUCUAUAAUAAUAUUCAAGAUAAUAACCAAAAACAGCAAAAUUUCAUUAAAAUUACUUAUUCUGGGCAGCAACCCAAAACCGGGUUGUCCAAUUCAUCUGAAAAUUUCAGGGCAGGUAGAUCUUGACCUGAUAAACAAAUUUACCUCUGUCAGAUUUACU